CGCCCAACCUCCCACCCGUGACUACCUAACACUGUUGCUUCGGCGGGGAGCCCUCUCGGGGGCGAGCCGCCGGGGACUACUGAACUUCAUGCCUGAGAGUGAUGCAGUCUGAGUCUGAAUAUAAAAUCAGUCAAAACUUUCAACAAUGGAUCUCUUGGUUCCGGCAUCGAUGAAGAACGCAGCGAACUGCGAUAAGUAAUGUGAAUUGCAGAAUUCAGUGAAUCAUCGAGUCUUUGAACGCACAUUGCGCCCCCUGGCAUUCCGGGGGGCAUGCCUGUCCGAGCGUCAUUGCUGCCCAUCAAGCCCGGCUUGUGUGUUGGGUCGUCGUCCCCCCCGGGGGACGGGCCCGAAAGGCAGCGGCGGCACCGUGUCCGGUCCUCGAGCGUAUGGGGCUUUGUCACCCGCUCGAUUAGGGCCGGCCGGGCGCCAGCCGACGUCUCCAACCAUUUUCUUCAGGUUGACCUCGGAUCAGGUAGGGAUACCCGCUGAACUUAAGCAUAUCAAUAAGGCGGAGAAA
Molecule: ribosomal RNA, 517 nt
Filed under: Aspergillus versicolor
Lineage: Eukaryota; Fungi; Ascomycota; Eurotiomycetes; Eurotiales; Aspergillaceae
Also listed under: 1 other name
Description: eukaryotic LSU rRNA
Rfam family: 5.8S ribosomal RNA (bases 135-288)
Source: RNAcentral